RNAcentral lists this ribosomal RNA (468 nucleotides) under uncultured bacterium. Its description in RNAcentral is "partial 16S ribosomal RNA". It matches the Rfam family "Bacterial small subunit ribosomal RNA", at positions 28 to 507 of the family's 1533-position model. The record is from RNAcentral.
GACGAACGCUGGCGGCGUGCUUAACACAUGCAAGUCGAACGGAAAGGCCCUGCUUUUGUGGGGUGCUCGAGUGGCGAACGGGUGAGUAACACGUGAGUAACCUGCCCUUGACUUUGGGAUAACUUCAGGAAACUGGGGCUAAUACCGGAUAGGAGCUCCUGCUGCAUGGUGGGGGUUGGAAAGUUUCGGCGGUUGGGGAUGGACUCGCGGCUUAUCAGCUUGUUGGUGGGGUAGUGGCUUACCAAGGCUUUGACGGGUAGUCGGCCUGAGAGGGUGACCGGCCACAUUGGGACUGAGAUACGGCCCAGACUCCUACGGGAGGCAGCAGUGGGGAAUAUUGCACAAUGGGCGGAAGCCUGAUGCAGCAACGCCGCGUGCGGGAUGACGGCCUUCGGGUUGUAACCCGCUUUCGCCUGUGACGAAGCGUGAGUGACGGUAAUGGGUAAAGAAGCACCGGCUAACUACGUG